UACGUAGGGUCCGAGCGUUGUCCGGAAUUAUUGGGCGUAAAGGGCUCGUAGGCGGUUUGUCGCGUCGGGAGUGAAAACUCAGGGCUCAACCCCGGGCCUGCAUUCGAUACGGGCAGGCUAGAGUUCGGCAGGGGAGACUGGAAUUCCUGGUGUAGCGGUGAAAUGCGCAGAUAUCAGGAGGAACACCGGUGGCGAAGGCGGGUCUCUGGGCCGAUACUGACGCUGAGGAGCGAAAGCGUGGGGAGCGAACAGG
Molecule: ribosomal RNA, 253 nt
Filed under: uncultured bacterium
Lineage: Bacteria
Description: partial 16S ribosomal RNA
Rfam family: Bacterial small subunit ribosomal RNA
Source: RNAcentral